GAAUUUUAAUGUUGGCUGCAAUUACUCAUGGAACAAAAAUUUAGAAACAGAAACUGGAAGGAAGUUCUCAGUAAUCAAGAAAAACAGCUAAUGAGCAGAUGAUAGAACCAGUGCUCUUCCGAGGGCCCUUAUCAAAAAUUGUACACGGUUAUUGUUUGUUGCACAGCCAGGCCUCACUUAAUUCUUUAGCCUCCUCUCCCAGGAUCGAUUCAGACUGUGACAGUACAUUUUCCGGCAUAAUCUUGUUAUUGACAAAACCAAGUCACAUUCAGAGAGCAGUUCUGGGCCACUCCUUAGAUAAAGACAACCACAAUGAGACGUAAUUGCUGUAAUGAUGGUUAUUAUAUUGUUGAGGUGCUGCAGAUAGCCUCUGUUUUUAUUGCCUUGACAUCUUCCUUUGUGCCGCCUGCGUCCCAGUUGCUUUUCCUCCUGCCAAGAGCAAUAUGGCAAAUUCGCUGUUUGUUAGGAAAUAGCUGUCAAUGGAACACAUGAUGUGUUUGCUGAAGAUAAAUUCUUGCAAGGACAGACGUGAAAAGAUUCUGGAUGGGUGCCAAUUUGUUCUCUGGGAAUUGAUUAUAAACACGGAAGACUCUCUUUUUUCUACUUCUUUUCCUUCAACUGUAGUGCAAAAAUAAACACAGUAUAGUCACGCAUGGACCACUCUUUUACCUGUGGCUUGGCCUUUCCCUUGAUGAAUAAUGGAGACUAUAAUGCAGAAAAAAAGAAUCUUAAUUACAGAAGAUGUCUUAUUCACAGAUUGAAACAACUUUUGCAUUGUAGCAUUUCUAAACCUACGCUGAUACCUUUGCCUGAAAGACCACACUAUAUACAAACAAUUAAACUCCUUCACUUAUACAAGAACUACAAUGGAAAACAACUAAAAAUGUGUCUGCAAAAAUAUAUCCAUGAAUGCAAGAAAUGAUCCGUAAGAGAAGGGGCCUAUGCAGCUUUUAAAAUUAUUAUUAUUAUUAAAGAGCUGUGCAUUGAAAAGGGCUAUAUAGCAUGGAAAUUAAAAUGCUUCGGUGCUGUGAGGAUUU
RNAcentral lists this long non-coding RNA (1037 nucleotides) under Pogona vitticeps (central bearded dragon). Its description in RNAcentral is "lncRNA (ENSPVIG00000007834.1)". The record is from RNAcentral. Lineage: Eukaryota; Metazoa; Chordata; Lepidosauria; Squamata; Agamidae.